GCUGAAACACCCGUCCUCAUACGAUCACCAAAGUUAAGCAAACGUCGAGCCUGGUCAGUAGCUCGAUGGGUGUCUGCUAGGGAAUACGAGGUGCUGUAA
Non-coding RNA from Acanthosepion pharaonis, 99 nucleotides. Lineage: Eukaryota; Metazoa; Mollusca; Cephalopoda; Sepiida; Sepiidae. The record is from the annotation of a GenBank genome assembly.